GACGAACGCUGGCGGCGUGCCUAAUACAUGCAAGUAGGACGCAGUUGCGAACGUGUGAGUAACGCGUAGGUAACUACCUAUUAGAGGGGGAUAACUAUUGGAAACGAUAGCUAAUACCGCAUACUAGUAGAUGGACCUGCGUUGUAUUAGCUAGUAGGUAGGGUAAUGGCCUACCUAGGCAACGAUACAUAGCCGAGCCGGAGAGGAGAACGGCCAAAAUGGGACCGGGACACGGGCCAGAAUCCCACGGGGAGGAACAGGAGGGAAAUAUCGGAAAUGGGGGGAAACCCGAACGAGCAAAGGCGCGGGAGUGAAGAAGGUUUUCGGAGCGGAAAGCUCUGUUGUUAAGGAAGCGGUACUUAAACAGAAAGCGACGGCUAACUACGUGCCAGCAGCCGCGGUAAUUC
RNAcentral lists this ribosomal RNA (407 nucleotides) under uncultured bacterium. Its description in RNAcentral is "partial 16S ribosomal RNA". It matches the Rfam family "Bacterial small subunit ribosomal RNA", at positions 28 to 526 of the family's 1533-position model. The record is from RNAcentral.